UAAGGAGGAUGCGAGCGUUAUCCGGAUUUAUUGGGUUUAAAGGGAGCGUAGGUGGAUUGUUAAGUCAGUUGUGAAAGUUUGCGGCUCAACCGUAAAAUUGCAGUUGAAACUGGCAGUCUUGAGUACAGUAGAGGUGGGCGGAAUUCGUGGUGUAGCGGUGAAAUGCUUAGAUAUCACGCAGAACGCCGAUUGCGAAGGCAGCAUACCGGCGCCCAUCUGACGCUGAGGCACGAAAGCGUGGGGAUCGAACAGG
This 253-nucleotide ribosomal RNA is filed under the name uncultured Bacteroides sp. RNAcentral describes it as "partial 16S ribosomal RNA". It matches the Rfam family "Bacterial small subunit ribosomal RNA", at positions 524 to 776 of the family's 1533-position model. The record is from RNAcentral. Lineage: Bacteria; Pseudomonadati; Bacteroidota; Bacteroidia; Bacteroidales; Bacteroidaceae.